AAGACCUUGCGCUUUUGGAGCGGCCGAUGCCUGAUUAGCUUGUUGGUAAGGUAAAAGCUUACCAAGGCUUCGAUCAGUAGCUGGUCUGAGAGGACGACCAGCCACACUGGGACUGAGACACGGCCCAGACUCCUACGGGAGGCAGCAGUGGGGAAUUUUGGACAAUGGGGGCAACCCUGAUCCAGCCAUGCCGCGUGAGUGAAGAAGGCCUUCGGGUUGUAAAGCUCUUUCAGCCGGAACGAAACGGUUACGGAUAACACCCGUGACUACUGACGGUACCGGAAGAAGAAGCACCGGCUAACUACGUGCCAGCAGCCGCGGUAAUACGUAGGGUGCGAGCGUUAAUCGGAAUUACUGGGCGUAAAGCGUGCGCAGGUGGUUUUGUAAGUCAGAUGUGAAAGCCUCGGGCUCAACCUGGGAACU
RNAcentral lists this ribosomal RNA (423 nucleotides) under uncultured bacterium. Its description in RNAcentral is "bacterial SSU rRNA". It matches the Rfam family "Bacterial small subunit ribosomal RNA", at positions 207 to 622 of the family's 1533-position model. The record is from RNAcentral.